This is a long non-coding RNA of Lolium perenne, 3297 nucleotides long. RefSeq lists it as uncharacterized. NCBI's taxonomy places the organism in Eukaryota, Viridiplantae, Streptophyta, Magnoliopsida, Poales, Poaceae. The record is from RefSeq and is a predicted model, not a curated record.
ACGAAAUUCACGAUCUUGCGCUGUAACUUCAGACGUAGAUUAAACGAUUUUUUGGUUUAAUUUAACCUGGAUUUGUAGAUUAGCGUUGACCAAAUAUUUUAUUUGUCCGGCCUCGCCGCCGGCGAAGGUUGCCUCCCGCUUCAGGCCGUCCAGUGGGCUCCGAUCAACGGAAUCGCAAAAACGGCACCAAGCCCAUCCGGAUCGGAAAACCGGUUCUCCUUCUACACGGAUUAAUUGUACAUCAUGCCGCCGUAAUCAUGGAUUCAUGACGCUGGUAACGCUGUAAUGAUUGAUUCAUGGCGUUGGUAAUUUGGAACCAUUAAUCUGAGCGUUACUGUCAGUUCUCCCUUCUCUUUCAAGUAUAAAUAUGUGGACACAGCCAACGAUCUUUCCUCACAACACCCAUCUCACAUUCGACGUCCCAUUACUCAUCCGAGAUGCUGCUUGCUUAGGGAUUGUCAUCAUCCUAUUUUCCAGAUUAUUAUUCCCGGACUCAUCUCACCAGUGUGACCAUUAUUUAUUAUUAUUUCACAAUGGUUGUUGGACAAGUACAUUUGCUGACAUAUUCUUUUGAGAUUAUUUGUUCCUUACUUCUCCUUUAAACUAGCUUAAUACUGUCUGCUAAUACAUACUUUCGAAAAAUUAAUCAAACAUCUCCAUCUAAGUACAUCCUUCUAUGUGAACAACCUAGCUUCCGUUCUCAGUGUAUCCGUGCAUAUAUCACAGGAUAUGCCUCUGUAGAAAUAAUGACAAAGCGUUCUCGAGCAAACCCAACUUAGCACGCGCACCUCUGCUCGAAGAAUACUGGGAAAAUGUCCAUGUGAUCUGCGACUACUUCGAGGCAUCCUGGAGACAACUACAACUACAUCAGUGCUAAUAUACAGACCAUGGUGGGAGGUUGCAUACAGAUUGCACAAUACUUCUAAUGUUGUACAGUUGAAACCGAUCCACAUUUUUAGUUGGACAAUGUUUGUAUGCAGAACGGCUGUAUUUUGACUUAUGUACAACCUCUGGAAAAUACAUGUUAUGCAAUCAAUCUAAAUGAUUAGAUGUAAAACUGUUGUUUCAACGGCUGGUUUAGAAAUUCGUUCGUAUUUAUUCUUAUUCAUUGGGAAGCUAAUUAAUGUAAAUUUUGACUGAAUUAUAGCAUCUGACAUUACUAUUGCAUUGAACUUGGAGUAUUUCUUUCAUGCUACAGGUUAGUAAGAAUAUGAUGUCGAGAAGGUAAAUACUUAUUCACUUAAUCUCUGAGUGCUUCAAGCUUUGACCAGUGUACAAAGUUCUGCAAUAUUGUUGAAAUGUUGGUGGAUCUAGAAUCUUGCCUGUUCUUGGCAGUAUCAGCGGCUCUCUGCCCUACUUUGCUUUUAAAUUUAGAAAAUAAAAUCAUUUGUGUGUAAACGCUGUUCGUGCUAACAUUUGUCUUGCCUUGAUCUUUUCGACGCCGUACAUUCAAGUGUCUGAACUCAUGGUACUACCUUUUGCCAUUUUAUGUUGGGUGUUCAUGUUGGUUCCUUUGGUGAUCUAGGUCGUGUGUGAAAUUGGGCAACUCAGUCUAGGGAAAGAGAAGGCUAUCAAAGAAGAGUUGCAAGUAAUUAAGCGUGUAUGCAAUGGGUCAAUGGGACAGUUGUUUACAGUUUGUACACAUUUAAAAGAUAGUUGGCUGAUACCUUUAGUCGUUAUAUUACAUGUGUUGCCUCUGUUUGCUAGGGCACAUAUGUCGUCAUAUUUUCAGGAUUAGAUUGAUCACCAUAUUGUUCUUACAUUUUUUUCUUGGCUGUUCUUGGAGAUUUGUGCUUGCCUUUAGUUCUUGUUUUUUGCUUGAAAUUCUAGCCUGCCCAACAUCUGGGUUGACACCGUAUAUUUAGAUGCCAUAGUGCCAUGGUGUGCAUUGCUGAUCAUGCAUAAAGAAGAAUUUAAGUUACUCAUUUUCCUCCUAUGAGUUGAAUCGUCUGAAAUUUUGGUGCAAGUUUAUUAUUAAAUGCUAUAUUUACAAUUGAAAAUCAGUAUGUUCUAUGUUCGUCAGUGGACCUGUUUUGAUAUCUUUUUUUUUGGUUAGACAGGUAGCUCACCAGAAAAGGGGUGAGAGAACAAUUUCGUUUAUUGGAAGGAGAUACAAGAAAUUUCUAUUACAUGACUUUUUUUUGCUGGAAUGCUGAGACUACUGCAGUUAUGGGUGAGAAGUACACAGUUUAAUUUGUCUUGCAUCUUCCCUAAAUGUACAAAAGGUACGCACUCUCUCGAAAAUCAAUCAUAUUACAAAUUUAUUGGUCUAUUGUUCCUUGCAUUUUUUGUUCCUGGUUUGUCGUGUAACAGUUUCACAUGCUGAAGUUUUUGGCGGUUUGCAAAAUCUGUGCACAUCAUGUGUCUGAUCUUUUGCCUUGACUAAAAUGCAUGACAUGUUAUUUAUCACAACACUUUCAUACCAAUAUUUACUCAGCUAUCCUGUGUAGUUAUUUCCUGAACUCCUUAUAAGGGCUUUCACCUUCUUGCUUUGGGAAAUAGCUUCUGAACUCAAUAUGAACAUACAAGGAAGUGUCAUACAUCAUUCAUUCACCAAUGAAUAUAUUCCAUCAAUUAAGAAGUAUGAUGGUACCUUCAAGGUAGACAAUACCACUCAUAUUCUCUGAAACUUCAAGGGACCCUUCAGUUUAAAUAUUCCAAACAUAUUCCAAUUAGAUGUCCUGAACAUAUUCUAUAUGGUUUGUAUAUGGUUUGCUUUCAUUAUCAUGCCAAAAAUCCCAUAGAUAAUAUUUUAAAUAUGAGUAGGUUUUUUUGUAAUAGCUUUUUGGUGAAGCUUGUUUAUGCUAUUUACCAUUUUUUGGCUUAGUUUUGCCUAGCUAAGCAUUUUUUGUUAGAUCUAGCAGUAAACCUGUGGCAUUUAACUGACUCGAUGUGCAUGUUUUGUUAGUCAUUCUGGUGAAGAUUUGAAUUGUACAAUUUCUCUUUGAUUUGUUGUGGGAACUUUGAUUUCUAGAUGGGAAACCCGAUAUACACUUGAACAACUUGAAGUAGUGUUGCGGAACUGGAAGGGCAGCAUAUAGAAGACAUAGUUACUGUGUGCUUGUUGCAUCCUUUUGUUUAUCUCUCAUACUCCAAUACUUGGAGCAAAGGAUCACAUGAUCUCAAUUUUUUAACAAGUGUAAUUUAGGUACUUAUUUUGUAUGUUCGCCAUAAUUCUCAAAUACGACAAAUUGUACUAUGUAUGUGUUUGUACUGGGCUCAAAUUGGGCACAAGUAAUAAUCAAAGUUGAUGCAUAAAGUAUAAUUUGUAAUGUACAAGGUUGGAAAAUAUAGUUG